UGUUCUUACCAAGACUUGAACCUGGGGUUACUUGGUACCGAGUCCAUUGUCCUCACCACUAGACCAUCGAAC
This 72-nucleotide transfer RNA is filed under the name Cajanus cajan (pigeon pea). RNAcentral describes it as "tRNA gene-KK1_011224". Lineage: Eukaryota; Viridiplantae; Streptophyta; Magnoliopsida; Fabales; Fabaceae. The record is from RNAcentral.